This 255-nucleotide ribosomal RNA is filed under the name uncultured bacterium. RNAcentral describes it as "partial 16S ribosomal RNA". It matches the Rfam family "Bacterial small subunit ribosomal RNA", at positions 524 to 776 of the family's 1533-position model. The record is from RNAcentral.
GACAGAGGAUGCAAGCGUUAUCCGGAAUGAUUGGGCGUAAAGCGUCUGUAGGUGGCUUUUUAAGUCCGCCGUCAAAUCCCAGGGCUCAACCCUGGACAGGCGGUGGAAACUACCAAGCUAGAGUGCGGUAGAGGGUAGUGGAAUUCCCGGUGUAGCGGUGAAAUGCGUAGAGAUCGGGAGGAACACCAGUGGCGAAGGCGGCUACCUGGACCAGCACUGACACAUGAGGCACGGAAAGCGUGGGGAGCAAACAGG